GGAGAUGAGCCUGCAGGCGGGGGGCUGUGCGAGUGCGCGGGGACGGGGGCUGCUGUUUCCGAGCCGAGAGCCCUGGUAGCGGGGCUCUGUGGGCGGAGACGCCCUCCCGAGCCUGGGCAUCUUCGGAGUGGGACUCUCGGGUCGGAGUUCCGCCGCCGGCCCAUCCAGUUUCAGCGGGUCGCCUUUGCCUCUGGGCCGGGUGGGGAGCCUCCCAUUCCAGAGACCCCCCGACUCCCUGCCCCUCGCGGCGUAGGGGCGCCCUUUCUGCGGCGCCGCGGGGCCGUCCUCUCCCCUCCCCGGGCGGCUGCAGCAGGGGCGCGGGAGCCCGCGGACUGCGGGGUUGCGGUCGCCCCUGCUUUGUGAGUUCCCG
Molecule: long non-coding RNA, 370 nt
Filed under: Homo sapiens (human)
Lineage: Eukaryota; Metazoa; Chordata; Mammalia; Primates; Hominidae
Description: HSALNT0363822
Source: RNAcentral